This 477-nucleotide ribosomal RNA is filed under the name uncultured bacterium. Its description in RNAcentral is "partial 16S ribosomal RNA". It matches the Rfam family "Bacterial small subunit ribosomal RNA", at positions 28 to 507 of the family's 1533-position model. The record is from RNAcentral.
GAUGAACGCUGGCGGCGUGCCUAAUACAUGCAAGUCGAGCGAACAGACGAGGAGCUUGCUCCUCUGACGUUAGCGGCGGACGGGUGAGUAACACGUGGAUAACCUACCUAUAAGACUGGGAUAACUUCGGGAAACCGGAGCUCAUACCGGGUAAUAUAUUGAACCGCAUGGUUCAAUAGUGAAAGACGGUUUUGCAGUCGCUUAGAGAUGGGUCCGCGCCCCAUUAGCUAGUUGGUAGGGUAACGGCCUACCAAGGCGACGACGGGUAGCCGGCCUGAGAGGGCGACCGGUCACACUGGGACUGAGACACGGCCCAGACUCCUACGGGAGGCAGCAGUGGGGAAUAUUGCGCAAUGGGCGAAAGCCUGACGCAGCGACGCCGCGUGAGGGACGAAGGCCUUCGGGUUGUAAACCUCUUUCAGCAGGGACGAAGCGAAAGUGACGGUACCUGCAGAAGAAGCACCGGCCAACUACGUG